UUGGGGAUUAGCUCAGUUGGUAGAGCGCUCGACCGAUAAUCGAGAGGUCACUGGUUCAAGUCCAGUAUCCCCAACCAC
RNAcentral lists this transfer RNA (78 nucleotides) under Klebsiella phage vB_KaeM_KaOmega. Its description in RNAcentral is "tRNA-Ile". It matches the Rfam family "tRNA". Rfam says of the family: Transfer RNA (tRNA) molecules are approximately 80 nucleotides in length. The record is from RNAcentral. Lineage: Duplodnaviria; Heunggongvirae; Uroviricota; Caudoviricetes.